UCCCGGUCGGAUCCGGCUGAACGUGACGCGUCGCGUUGAAGCCGCGCGAGCGACAGAGAGAGGGAGAGACGGAGCGAGGUUUCCUGGCGGAGCUGCGGAGGAAGCAGAGCGGGAGCUGCGUGACUGUCUGCCGCCGCAGUCCCUGUCCGCCCGUCUGAGGGGGGAGACUCUCUCUCGAAAAACAGCCGCCUGUGUUUUCAGCUUCCGCGGGCUUCGGCAGCGAUGGACGCGUCGCUGUCCUCGUCCCGUUUUCGCCGCUGACUGAGACCGACGGAUGCUUCAGUGCCCGUAGAGGAGGAGGGGAGGAGGAGGAGGAGAGGAGGAGGAGGAGGAGGAGGAGAAGGAGGAGGGCAUCCUGUCAUUCUCCCACUGCCAGGCUAACUCACGACCGGAGCGCCUGAUCACAGGAGGAGGAGAAGUUUGAAAGGACGAGGGCGUGAGGAACAACCUGUGAAACAGAGAGAGGGAGAGCAGGGGGGAGGAAAGAGAGAGAACAGUCAAGUUUGGGAUGAGAGGAGGGAAGAGAACGUGAAGAGAGAGAGAUAGAGAGGGGAACAGAUCUGAGGUCAGGAGAGAGAGAGAGAGAGAGAGAGAGCAGGCGCAGGUAGGCCGGCGGUCAGACGGACCCGCUGAUCCACGGGAGAGGAGACGUCACCAUGAGCGACCAGAACGUUGUCAAGGAAGGAUGGGUCCAGAAGAGAGGCGAGUACAUCAAGAACUGGCGACCACGUUACUUCCUGCUGAAAACAGACGGCUCCUUUAUCGGAUACAAGGACAAACCACAGGACUCGGACCUGGCCUACCCACUCAAUAACUUCUCUGUA
Molecule: long non-coding RNA, 824 nt
Organism: Solea senegalensis (Senegalese sole)
Lineage: Eukaryota; Metazoa; Chordata; Actinopteri; Pleuronectiformes; Soleidae
Exons: 3
Source: RefSeq, a predicted model, not a curated record